UCUGCGGCACAUUAGCUAGUAGGUGAGGUAAGAGCUCACCUAGGCGACGAUGUGUAGCCGGUCUGAGAGGAUGAACGGCCACAAUGGAACUGAGACACGGUCCAUACUCCUACGGGAGGCAGCAGUGGGGAAUAUUGCACAAUGGGGGAAACCCUGAUGCAGCAACGCCGCGUGAGUGAAGAAGGUUUUCGGAUUGUAAAGCUCUGUUAGCAGGGAAGAGGAAGGACGGUACCUGCAGAGGAAGCCACGGCUAACUACGUGCCAGCAGCCGCGGUAAUACGUAGGUGGCAAGCGUUGUUCGGAAUAACUGGGCGUAAAGGAUGCGUAGGCGGUUGAGUAAGUUAUGUGUUAAAUAUAUAGGCUUAACCUGUAGAAAGCACAUAAAACUGUUUAACUAGAGUGCAGGAGAGGUAAGUGGAAUUCCUAGUGUAGCGGUGAAAUGCGUAGAGAUUAGGAAGAACACCAGUGGCGAAGGCGACUUACUGGACUGUAACUGACGCUGAGGCAUGAGAGCAUGGGGAGCAAACAGGAUUAGAUACCCUGGUAGUCCAUGCUGUAAACGAUGGGUACUAGGUGUGGGUUGUGAA
This 587-nucleotide ribosomal RNA is filed under the name uncultured bacterium. RNAcentral describes it as "bacterial SSU rRNA". It matches the Rfam family "Bacterial small subunit ribosomal RNA", at positions 230 to 833 of the family's 1533-position model. The record is from RNAcentral.